This 492-nucleotide ribosomal RNA is filed under the name uncultured bacterium. RNAcentral describes it as "partial 16S ribosomal RNA". It matches the Rfam family "Bacterial small subunit ribosomal RNA", at positions 29 to 507 of the family's 1533-position model. The record is from RNAcentral.
AGUGAACGCUGGCGGUAGGCCUAACACAUGCAAGUCGAACGGCAGCACAGUAAGAGCUUGCUCUUACGGGUGGCGCGUGGCGGACGGGUGGGGAAUACAUCGGAAUCUACUUUUUCGUGGGGGCUAACGUAGGGAAACUUACGCUAAUACCGCAUACGACCUACGGGUGAAAGCAGGGGAUCUUCGGACCUUGCGCGAUUGAAUGAGCCGAUGUCGGGUUAGCUAGUUGGCGGGGUAACGGCCCACCAAGGCGACGAUCCGUAGCUGGUCUGAGAGGAUGAGCAGCCACACUGGAACUGGUACACGGUCCAGACGCCUCCGGGAGGCAGCAGUGGGGAAUAUGGGAGAAUGGGGGCAAGCCUGAUCCAGCCAUACCGCGUGGGUGAAGAAGGCCUUCUGGUUGUAAAGCCCUUUUGUUGGGAAAGAAAAGCAGCAGGUUAAGACCACGCUGUUCUGACGGUACCCAAAGAAUAAGCACCGGCUAACUUCGUG